This 446-nucleotide ribosomal RNA is filed under the name uncultured bacterium. RNAcentral describes it as "partial 16S ribosomal RNA". It matches the Rfam family "Bacterial small subunit ribosomal RNA", at positions 338 to 795 of the family's 1533-position model. The record is from RNAcentral.
CCUACGGGAGGCAGCAGUCGAGAAUCAUUCACAAUGGGGGAAACCCUGAUGGUGCGACGCCGCGUGGGGGAAUGAAGGUCUUCGGAUUGUAAACCCCUGUCCUGUGGGAGCAAAUUAAAAAGAUAGUACCACAAGAGGAAGAGACGGCUAACUCUGUGCCAGCAGCCGCGGUAAUACAGAGGUCUCAAGCGUUGUUCGGAAUCACUGGGCGUAAGGCGUGCGUAGGCUGUUUCGUAAGUCGUGUGUGAAAGGCGCGGGCUCAACCCGCGGACGGCACAUGAUACUGCGAGACUAGAGUAAUGGAGGGGGAACCGGAAUUCUCGGUGUAGCAGUGAAAUGCGUAGAUAUCGAGAGGAACACUCGUGGCGAAGGCGGGUUCCUGGACAUUAACUGACGCUGAGGCACGAAGGCCAGGGGAGCGAAAGGGAUUAGAUACCCGGGUAGUC